GCAUUAAUGGGGUAGUGGUAACCUGGGUCGUUGCCAUACACUACUAGGUUCCAUGCUCGACCCCCUCGGGGUUCGAUCCCCCCUUAAUGCA
Molecule: non-coding RNA, 91 nt
Organism: Mycena olivaceomarginata
Lineage: Eukaryota; Fungi; Basidiomycota; Agaricomycetes; Agaricales; Mycenaceae
Source: the annotation of a GenBank genome assembly